This 284-nucleotide ribosomal RNA is filed under the name Ixodes ricinus (castor bean tick). Its description in RNAcentral is "partial small subunit ribosomal RNA". Lineage: Eukaryota; Metazoa; Arthropoda; Arachnida; Ixodida; Ixodidae. The record is from RNAcentral.
AAAAUAAAAUUUGAUUUUAAAAAAAUUUAAUUUUUAAACUAGGAUUAGAUACCCUAUUAUUUUAAGCUUAAUGUUGGUAGUAAGUAAAAUUUAUGAAAUCAUAAAAUUUUGGCGGUAUUUUAAGCUUGUUAGAGGAAUUUGCUCUAUAAUGGAUACAACGCCUAUAUCUUACUUAAUUUUGUAAUUAAAGUCAGUUUGUAUACCCCUAUAUUUAAUUAUAUUGAAUAAUUAUAUUUAAGAUUUUUAUAUAAAUAUAUAUUAAGUCAAGGUGCAACAAAUAAUUA